This is a long non-coding RNA of Amphibalanus amphitrite, 4254 nucleotides long. RefSeq lists it as uncharacterized. The transcript is spliced from 2 exons. The record is from RefSeq and is a predicted model, not a curated record. Lineage: Eukaryota; Metazoa; Arthropoda; Thecostraca; Balanomorpha; Balanidae.
CGCGGGGCUGGGGAGGGGGUAAAUUUUACCCCCCUGUUAUCUCCCGAACUAAUGGUCCGAUUUGGAAAAUGCAAACGCCAAUCGAAAGAUCGCAUCACGAACAACUAAAAACAUGUACUUAAUUUAAAGUUUGAGGUCAAGGUCAAGGUUAGGUCAAGGGUACAAAUUGCAAGUUUCAUGGACCACUUCUCUGGCAUAUAUUCCGUUUUUUUUCGAUACACGCAAAAUUUCGGAUUUUAUAAUUAUUUUCCCAAAAAAGUCAGCUUUUUUGCAGAAAAAAAUUGGCCAAAAUAAAAAAAAUAAAAAAGCCAAGGUAGCCAUUUGAUAGACAAAGUAGAAUCACGUAUACACUUUUUUGUUACGUCUUGAUUCCCUUAAAAAUGAAGAUGUUAGCGGCGUUUGAAAUUUUGCCGUUUUUGAGACGAAAAUGGCGAACAUGACGUCACUAAAACGUCAUUUUCUCAAAAAAUCCUUUUGAGAUAUUGCAAAAAUUCGCGAGGGGGGGGGGGUAAAAUUUCCCCCCAGCCCCGCGCGGGUUAAAUAAAUGACGCAGCAUCAGUGAAACAACUAUAUGCUUAUGAUGCUUGCAUUGACAUGGAUGGCAUUUAGAAUAAGCCCGGCAGUUGCUUGGGUAUUUCACCACCCGCGGUUGGUUAGGCUAACCAGGCUAACCAACCGCGAGUGGUUGGUUAGCCUUUGCGCUUUUGGUGUAAUAACUUUAAAUGACAGAGACGCUCCUGAAAAAUAACUCAAUAGAAAUUAGAAGAGGGUUCGUGUACACAUUUCUGCAAUGGUUUUCAACAGCCAUUAGACGUAUUCAUCAAUGCAGAGGCCUCUUGCACCAAACUACCUACCUAGGUAAAUUCAGAUUAUACCUAGAUUCUCUUGCACCAAACUACCUACCAAAAAACGCUACCGUGAAAAUUUACCUAGAAAUUCUACCGAGCGGCAUAAGAACUUACCAAUUGUUAAAGCCCGACCGGCUGUUUUCCCUCUUGCACCGAAAGCCGGAAAGAAGUACUCGCGGAGGAAUUUUUGACGUUUUGACGGUAAACGCGGGCUUCCAAAAUAACUAGCAAAAGCUUAGGUAAAAUGAUUCAAUUAGUAACAAUAGGCACAAUACAUGAUAAUCCACGGGUACUUUUAUGUAAACUAGGCAUUACAAAAUGUUUAGACAAUGAUAAAUCAAUGUUUUAUCAGUGAAUAAUAAAAUAAUUGACCAAAUGCUCCAUAGGUUCACAGAGGUGCUUCUCCGUACCAAAGCGAAAAACCUCCGUAGCAGAACACUGAACAGCCAGGUUGAAGACUCACUCGUUGCCAUGGAAACGAAGCUUAUUUGUUCAAGUAAUUUAAUAUCAAAAUAACUUCUAUCGGUAUUUACGUAAAUGAAGAAUGAUUUCAUAAUACCAAAAUGUAUAUCAAUAAAAACAAUAUCCAUUUAAUUGUUUUCUUUAGUUACUAUUUGUUUGCGCCCACAAAUAAUUCGUCGCCAAACAGCCAAUCAAAACAAAUCCUAAAAACGCGAGCUGUCAAAUUUACCUAGGUAGGUAGGUAGGAUGGUGCAAGAGAAGUUACCGCCGUAGGUAGUUUUACUAGGUAGGUAUUUUGCCGAUUCUACCUAGCUAGGUAUUUUGGUGCAAGAGGCCUCAGAUCGAUUAUUGUGAUGUUGGCAUUUGGCAACCAACCACUUAAUACCUGGAUCACUGUACGUAAACAUUUAACAUGGUUUGGUUCGUUUUUAAUAAAUUUAGUCCGAACCUUUUAAAUGGAAGGAUUCACACGGACAGAGCCCAUAAGGGUCACAUAACUCGAAAAUAGCAUCGUCUGAGCCUUCUUUUGAAGCCCUUUUCAGCUAAUGAAAGACUAGUUCAAGCCACGGUCAGGUAAAAUUAGGUCAAAUUUUGAAUUUCGUUUCUGUAAAAAAGGUUGGUAGUUAGGUAUUUGUAAGAUUUCAAAUUGCAGUCACGCUGUCUCUAUGGAACCUAACGGAGCAGCACGGACCGUGGCGUCACCUUACCACCGAGACGAUAUCGAUAUGAAGUACAGCUUCCACAGAUGGUCGCUAGGUGCUCGGAAAUGAAUAGAACCAUCCGGGCCAGGCCUGAGGCCACUGAAUCAGAUACCUUUUUUCGAAAAGGCAAACACUUUUAUGGAAAAGUCAAGAAUUCUUAUUUUGAGAUUUUAUUCAUAUCAUUUACCCAAUUGUCAACAGUUAAACGUGAGUUAAACAAUUUGAGGCAGCAGUUUGACAGCGCAAUGUGUUUUGAGUACCUAUUACCAUGCAAAGAAAUUGGAUCAUACCUAGCUUCAAAAAUGAGCUAUUGAGAAGUGAGAACGAUUGCCAUAAAUAAUUGUUUUGAAUCAAAAUCGGCCGAAUAUGACGUCACUCAAACAUCAUUUCCGGCCGACCUAUGGUAGCUAGGAUCUUUUGAUAAUUGAUAGGUAUAGAUAGACACAAGGUGUGAAAUUGAUGCAGUUAGUGGUAUGCAAGUUUCGCGUGGAUACGAGUACGUUCAGUGGUUUAGAAUAUGUUGCAGAAAACGGGAGAAGAGAUCUUUCGAGCCCCCAAGUCAUGCUGGGGCUAAGUUAGCCAUAAGAAUUCAGCUAUCUAAUAAGGGUCCAUGUGUCAAGGUCGACCUAAGGUCAUUCGAGGUCACAUAAGGUCAACAUAAACGUGAUCUUCUCCAAGCAAAAUACAUGUCAUUUGACGCAUAUAGGCAAGAUCAAUGCACUAGUAUCUCUGCCCUAUCUUUGAGACUAUAUUUGUUCGAAUAAAGUUAAUAAAGUUGGGGGUUUUUGAUCUGAACUUUGGCCUAAGGUCUACAAAAAAAACCUAAAAAUUGCUUGGUCAUAUACAAGCCAAUAAAAGCCUUUAUUUGCCAGCAAUUAAAAAUCCAUGUCUUUGACGUCGCAUUUUACUCUGCAAGGGUCUGAAAAUCCACCCAUGUGAUGGCUGAUGCCAUCAUGGGGAUUAAAUCCUAAUUUUCAAUUUCAAAGGAUGUCGAAUUGGUGAGGAAAAUGACACUGAAAGUUUUGAGCUCCUAUCCCAAAAAGCUAUUCCUCGCGAAAACGCAAUCCCUUGCAACCCCAAAAAGUUAUGCCCGCGAGGUUUAACGAAUCCCCACAAGAUCAUCUCCUAUACUAAGUAUCGUAGCGAAACGCCUAAAACAGUGUUGAACAGAUUUUACAAACACACAGCGGAAGCAAUCCUAAAACUUUAUAAUUGAGUUCAGGAACUAUCACAAUUUUACCCUGUGCCGGUUAUUGAGCUGGUGACCUGACCUUAAAUAUCUGAGCCACGUAAUUGUACGGAAAGUGCCUAAAUGAUGUCAAUAGGGUAUGCUCAAAUUUAAAAGGCUGUGGUAAAGAUAGAGCUGGAGGCUGAAAAACAUGCUCCCUCCCUAAACAGUGAGCAGGGCGCAGCUUUCUAUCUGACAAGCCUGUGAGGUGAGGGGACGGUCACAUCAUCUGUGAAUACUAACACCUGUUCUCCCAUCCAUAUGCUGAUAACUAGCGACAAAUCACGAUAAAUAUUCUGUCCCACUGUUCGGGAACGCUCAAAACACUUUGGGGGCUUGGCGCCCGCCAUUCUUCUGCAAGGAGCAUUAGAGGCUCCAGAGAGGUUCACCGGAGCCAGCGACAAUGGGCUGGCCUCUACGUCUGGCCCUUUCGGCCGCCAUCGUCACCUCCGUCUUGGCCACGUGUCCCUCCUCCGAAUGGAAGCAGUUCCGCGACAUGUGCUACUGGAGGUCGGAUUUCACUCCCACCUGGCAUGGAGCUUCACUUGCAUGCCCAGCCAGGUUUCCUGGCUCGGACCUGGUUUCAAUUCAUGACGCGGAACUGGAUGCCUUCAUCGCUCAGGAUCUUCUGAACGGCGACUGGGCCUGGUUGGGCCUGAGCGGGUAUGCAUUCUCAUCGUCGUCAUGGACCUGGACGGACGGAUCGGCGUACAACUACACUAACUGGUUUGGAGGCAAUCCGCAGUGUAGCGAUGAGUGCUGCGCUACCAUAAACUAUGGAAACGAGGGGAACUGGACUGGGUGGGAUUGUUAUGGAUCAAAAUGGUUCUUGAUGUGCCAGAUAGAAGCAUCAUGAAUUAUGGCGGCAGGUAACCACCAGCGUACUUCUAGCCGCUUAAUGGCCGAGGUGGCCUGAGGCAGGUGCUUUGGUGACAGCUUACUCGUUUUUUUUUCUUUUGUGACAACUGACAACGUGUUAUAAGGAGAAGAAUGAAUACAUAUGAACAGUUUUGUG